AAAGAUAAAAUUUCUUACCACAUUGGUUGUUGCAAGUGGAUUGAUACUUUGAUAUAUCAAAGAACGAGCGACCAUCAUGCAAACGACUGACUCUUCGUAGAUUUACCACUGAGGCUUUUGAACUAUCUAAGCAGAAACACUCUUGUAUGUCACAAUAUGAAGGAGAAAAAUGCAUCUCUUGCAGCUUCCUUUCGAGAAAAAGAUCGGGAAUCAUUUCAAAUCCUAGAUCUCGAGGAAGAAUUUCACCGUCAAUUUGACAUUGACAAAAUAGUCUAGAGGCAGCUGGGAACAAGAAAGACGAUUUGGGACUUGAACAAUCAAGAUUUAUGUUAGAUGGAGGAUAAAGAAAUGGUGGAAUUUCUCACCAUUGUUAGUCA
RNAcentral lists this long non-coding RNA (377 nucleotides) under Olea europaea (common olive). RNAcentral describes it as "long non-coding RNA (OEUR_LNC015302)". The record is from RNAcentral. Lineage: Eukaryota; Viridiplantae; Streptophyta; Magnoliopsida; Lamiales; Oleaceae.